Molecule: ribosomal RNA, 423 nt
Filed under: Heteronitis castelnaui
Lineage: Eukaryota; Metazoa; Arthropoda; Insecta; Coleoptera; Scarabaeidae
Description: partial 16S ribosomal RNA
Rfam family: Bacterial large subunit ribosomal RNA
Source: RNAcentral
UAAUUUAAAGUCUGACCUGCCCUAUGAUAUUUAUUAAAUGGCCGCGAUACUUUGAUCGUGCAAAGGUAGCAUAAUAAUUAGUUUUUUAAUUGAGAACUGGUAUGAAUGGUUGGACGAGGAAAAGGCUGUCUCAAUUUAAUUUAAUUAGAAUUUUAUUUUUAAGUAAAAAAGCUUAAAUGUUUUUAAAAGACGAGAAGACCCUAUAGAGUUUUAUAUAAAAUUAGUUUUUGGCGUAAAAGAAUUUAAAGUUAAAAAAUUAAUUUUGUAUUUGGUUGGGGUGACUAAAAAAUUUAAUGAACUUUUUUUAAAAUAAACCAUUGAUUUAUGAAUAAGUGAUCCAUUGAUAAUGAUUAAAAGAUUAAAUUACCUUAGGGAUAACAGCGUUAUUUUUUUUGAGAGUUCUUAUCGAAAAAAAAGUUUGCA